UGAAAUGGCACUAUAACAAGACCUCAGGC
This 29-nucleotide non-coding RNA is filed under the name Rattus norvegicus (Norway rat). The record is from RNAcentral. Lineage: Eukaryota; Metazoa; Chordata; Mammalia; Rodentia; Muridae.